RNAcentral lists this ribosomal RNA (564 nucleotides) under uncultured bacterium. Its description in RNAcentral is "bacterial SSU rRNA". It matches the Rfam family "Bacterial small subunit ribosomal RNA", at positions 64 to 660 of the family's 1533-position model. The record is from RNAcentral.
GAACGAGAAAGGGUAGCAAUACCUGAGUAAAGUGGCGCACGGGUGAGUAACACGUGACUAACCUACCCUGGAGUGGGGGAUAACUGAGGGAAACCUUAGCUAAUACCGCAUAAUACCUACGGGUCAAAGGAGCAAUUCGCUUUGGGAGGGGGUCGCGGCCGAUUAGUUAGUUGGCGGGGUAAUGGCCCACCAAGACAGUGAUCGGUAUCCGGCCUGAGAGGGCGCACGGACACACUGGAACUGAAACACGGUCCAGACUCCUACGGGAGGCAGCAGUGGGGAAUUUUGCGCAAUGGGGGAAACCCUGACGCAGCAACGCCGCGUGGAGGAUGAAGUACUUCGGUACGUAAACUCCUUUCGAUCGGGACGAUAAUGACGGUACCGGAAGAAGAAGCCCCGGCUAACUUCGUGCCAGCAGCCGCGGUAAUACGAGGGGGGCAAGCGUUGUUCGGAAUUAUUGGGCGUAAAGGGUGCGUAGGCGGUUUGGUAAGUCUUGUGUGAAAUCUCCGGGCUCAACUCGGAGUCUGCACAGGAAACUGCCGGGCUUGAGUAUGGGAGAGGUGA